RNAcentral lists this ribosomal RNA (436 nucleotides) under uncultured Oscillospiraceae bacterium. RNAcentral describes it as "bacterial SSU rRNA". It matches the Rfam family "Bacterial small subunit ribosomal RNA", at positions 341 to 792 of the family's 1533-position model. The record is from RNAcentral. Lineage: Bacteria; Bacillati; Bacillota; Clostridia; Eubacteriales; Oscillospiraceae.
ACGGAAGGCAGCAGUGGGGAAUAUUGCACAAUGGGCGAAAGCCUGAUGCAGCGACGCCGCGUGAGGGAAGACGGUUUUCGGAUUGUAAACCUCUGUCUUUGGUGAAGAAGAAGUGACAUUAGCCGAGGAGGAAGCCACGGCUAACUACGUGCCAGCAGCCGCGGUAAUACGUAGGUGGCAAGCGUUAUCCGGAAUUACUGGGUGUAAAGGGAGCGCAGGCGGGAGAGCAAGUCAGCGGUGAAAUGUAUGGGCUUAACCCAUGAACUGCCGUUGAAACUGUUUUUCUUGAGUGGAGUAGAGGCAAGCGGAAUUCCGAGUGUAGCGGUGAAAUGCGUAGAUAUUCGGAGGAGCACCAGUGGCGAAGGCGGCUUGCUGGGCUCUAACUGACGCUGAGGCUCGAAAGUGUGGGGAGCAAACAGGAUUAGAUACCCUGGUA